This 467-nucleotide ribosomal RNA is filed under the name uncultured bacterium. Its description in RNAcentral is "partial 16S ribosomal RNA". It matches the Rfam family "Bacterial small subunit ribosomal RNA", at positions 28 to 507 of the family's 1533-position model. The record is from RNAcentral.
GAUGAACGCUGACAGAAUGCUUAACACAUGCAAGUCAACUUGAAUUUGGGUUUUUAACUUAGGUUUGGGUGGCGGACGGGUGAGUAACGCGUAAAGAACUUGCCUCACAGCUAGUGACAACAUUUGGAAACGAAUGCUAAUACCUAAUAUUAUGAUAAUAGGGCAUCCUAUAAUUAUGAAAGCUAUAAGCGCUGUGAGAGAGCUUUGCGUCCCAUUAGCUAGUUGGAGAGGUAACGGCUCACCAAGGCGAUGAUGGGUAGCCGGCCUGAGAGGGUGAUCGGCCACAAGGGGACUGAGACACGGCCCUUACUCCUACGGGAGGCAGCAGUGGGGAAUAUUGGACAAUGGACCAAGAGUCUGAUCCAGCAAUUCUGUGUGCACGAUGAAGUUUUUCGGAAUGUAAAGUGCUUUCAGUUGGGAAGAAAGAAAUGACGGUACCAACAGAAGAAGUGACGGCUAAAUACGUG